GAAAAGGGGGAGGCUGAGGAGUGGCUGAGAGAGAAGGGGGAAGCUGAUGGGGCGUGGAGGGCCCCGAAGGAUAUCGUGUAGCGGCCGGUUGUCCCUGGGUGCCCGCCAGCUCUUGGUAGGGCAGUGUCUCUCCGUGGCGGGAGCGAGGUGGGAGUUUGUUCCUGCGGCUCGCCCCCUUUGCGGGGCGCAGGGGGCCGUGCGCCCCUGGCAGCGGGGCCCUGAAGGCGAGCGGGCCGCGGCGGUGCGGGAGCGGUGCCCGCUGAGGUGGGUCCGUGGAAGGAGCUGGGGGGGUAGCGGCUGAGAGGGGCUGCUGGUCACGGUUGUGAGGGUAGGCGGCUGUGGUGCGUGUCGGGGCUGGGACUGUGCUAGGUCUGGAGGGGGAGGCUGCUGCGUGUCGUGCAGAAACCGGGCUGGCUCUGGUGGCCCAUGGGCUUGUGCCUUCCGGGAAGAGGCGCCCCGUGAGGGGGGCUGGAGCUGCUCAGGUGUUUGGACUUCGCCUGGGAUGAAGUACAGACUGUGGCUUAAAGAGCACGGCUGAGGCCUUGGCCUGGCCUUGAUGGGGGAGGCCCUCAGCAGGGAACCGGCUGGAACGUGCCCUUGUCGUACACCAGGUGACAGCCUGUGCUUGCUGAUUUGGGGCUCUUUCAAGGGUUGUGGCUUCUGUCUGAUAACUGCACUAAUAGUGUUCAGCUGUCAUAGAUCCCUGGCUUGGUGUGACCAGUAGGAGGAGCUUUGUUCUCUCCUAAAGGCAGCUGCCCUCAGUAUGCCUAUAGAGACAUAAAUCAACCUUGAAAGAGCAGAGAGAAUGUAUAAAACAUUGUAAGACCUCUCAGCAUGGUAUGGGGAGCAGCCAAGCUGCCUUGCUUCCCUGUUUUCUUACCUGUGCUUGCUGUCUAGCAUUGGCAUGGCUUAGCCAGCUGACUAGGCACGGUCUGGGUUUCAGUGUACCCUCUGGCUGCUGCGUAGGAGGUGGGCUAGAUUUUGAGCAGUGGAUUGUAGACUUUACUGUACUGAACAUGAUCCCUGCUUGUGCUAGUCUCUGUGUGGGGGAAUGGGAAGUGAUCCGUUUGCCAAAUGAGUGAUUACUUAAAUCUCUCUUAGGCUUAAGGGGACUGGAGGUCCCUGAAAUAACAUGUCGGAUCUUUGCUCAGAAUUGGAAGGGAGGAUACUGAAAGUAUUGCAUGGUUUGUGAAAUAACACCGUUUCUAGCUGAUUCCUGUGAAAUAAAGUACUCUAUUACUUCAGGAAGAUACUCCAUUGAAAAGAGCUGUGAAGAGUUUUGCGUGCUCACUGGAAGUCUUAGCUGAAGUCCAGUAGUGGUAUAGCUCAGGAAAAAUGGGGUUACACAUUUUUAUUUCAUAUUUUGGCUCCUCCUGGAGGUAAGUACAAUGCAUUUGCACAGGAUAUUGCCUCACGAUAACUACACAAAUAGAGUACUGUGUUUGCCUGAGGAUACACUUGAAUGGUGGAGGAAGGAUGUCAUGAGAUGUUUUAUGAUGCAGUUACUUACCCUGAACCUUGCAGCCUUUCAAGAUUUGUUGAUACUACAGCAGUGCGUGCCAUUCUUCUCUUUAAAUCCAGCUCCCUCCAGUUGAAGAAUCUGAACCAGUUGCUUGCCUUCCUGUAAAAUGCUCAGUGUCCUGGGACAGGAGGUGCUUCUCCCCACCCCCAGCUUGUCCAGUUUUGCCAUAUUCAUCACUGAAGAAAAGGGGUGGGAGGAGUGUAAUGCUAUAACUUUCAGUAGCAGUUGCAUACAUCUGAAGAAUUCUGAAUUACAAGUACAGCCGCCUUUAUUUCUUUUUCUACUUCUGAUUCUUCUCUACGCAGAUACCUUUAGAUUAGGUGUGCUGUGGGUGGAAAAAAGGGGCAGUGGCAUGAUGACUUCUGUCACAGCAGCUGCCCACUGUAGACUUUCAGCCUAUGCUUGUGUCUGUGCAGCUGAUACCAGGUAAUGAUGGUAAGUAUUGCAGUGGAGUAAUUGGGCGGAGGGGGCUUGCUUGUCUUUUUGAUAACUGGAAGAAAAUGUGUGCGAAAUCUUCAUCCAAGGUAGUCUGCAGACAGUGUGCUUUGUUACUUAAACUGGUUUAGAAACAAUUGGUUUCACCUGUAUUGAUUCCUUCUCUUCCUCCCCUUCCCCCUUGUGUCAGUGCUGCUCCUCUGAGGAGGAGACAAGGAUGCAUCCUGCUUUACAGAUAACUUUAUUUCAUUGUUUAUACCAUGUUUUUUUAUCUGAACAUGUAGAUGGCACUGAUGUCUCAGCUAAGAGUUGCUGUAGUAUGCUGAAAUAUAGGAAAAAAGGAAUUGACUUCACAAACCACCCAAAUGAAUGCCUGAUGCAAGAGACAAGUAAAAUAGUUUUCUGUGUGUGUAUAGUUCACUUUCAUCAGUUUGGGGGUGUUGAUACUCCUAUGUGUAUGGAUUUUACUCAUUGAUCACAACUUGUUGGAGAUAGUAAUGAUGAAACCUGUGUUGUGUGUCACAAACUUGGAUACUCCAUUCACUUGAAAGCGCUGAUGUCCAAGUCUCUUCUGACCCGACAGGUCUUAGUUGCAAGAUGCACAAGCAGCUUACAGUCCUAUUGCAGAAACAGGUGUUGUCUCAACAUGUCACGUGAAAAGGCACAAGGUGAUGACAAUUCAAAGCCUGCCUUUGGCAUUUCUGACAUGCGUGGGUAUACUCUGGUUUACUACUGUUAAUGGAAACUUAUUUCCACGUCUGUACGGUCCUGAGCCUAUGAAGCUGAUACAUUUGUGUGUACUUGAACUACUAUGCUGACAUCCUACACUGUGGAAAUUAUGGGUUGGCUUUGUUCCCGAAGUGCUUUUGGUCACUGUGGACUCAGGUAAGCAACUACCCAGUGUCCUGCAGACCAGGAGAAGCAGUUGGAAGACCCUGCAGGAGGGAUGUGGAAGACGAGGAUAAGUAGGAAUGUGUGAUGCCUUUGCUCAAAGAAGCAAUUGUUUACUCUAUGUUUGUAUGUAGAAACCUGGCUUUAUAUCUCAGCAUUCAUUCUGACAAGUUCUUGCUCUUAAUGAAAACUUCACAGAUUUGGAAGCUCUGAAUUGAGCCAUCACUGAAUAGUACAGCACCUCUACAGUCUGCAUGAGAAAUAUGUGAAUUUAUGAGAUGAAGUGUACAAAUAUGUUGUGUGAUAACAUGAUUUUUAAGGUGUCUGAUGUUCUGCUGUCAUGGUGCCAACAUCUGUGUCAGUGCAGCAUGGAUAAAUGGCAGGAUGCGCGGUUGUCUUGGUUUGUGCAAAUUGUCAGGCCUUACAUAAUUCCUGGUAUGCAAAUUAGCCGGAUGGAAAUUUUUAUUUGCACUCAGAGCGGAAUAUGGAUUCUAAGGGUGAUCGAUAGGAUCUCUGCUAGUCUUGGCACGUAAGUUUUGUUUAAAAUCCUGUUUUCUUAAUUAUCCCAGCUAUAAAACUUAGUUGUCCACAGCCCCCUUGGAGGAGGGAGGAUUGUUGAAGUGUCACUGACCAUCUGCUUACUUCAAAGCCUGUGGGGCAAGGGUGUGAAUUCUUUCACAUUAAAGGUGAUGUUCAGAUUCUGGAGGCUGAAGAAGCUGCUGUGUGAAGGUUUUUUGUUUGUAAUUGUCUCCUGUGGAGCUAUUUCCCAAAGAGUUUCCGGAGCUGCAAGGUGAGAGAGUGAGUUCAGCUGGGUAGAUUGGGUAAGUACUUGUAUAUCGUGGUAUUGUUUGCAGGUAUCUUAAUGGUAACAAUACAGAAGAACACAUUGCUUUGUCUGCUAUGUUCUUAAACAGGUAGAGCUUGGAAGAAACAGGUAAGAGUGAAGGCUUCUCUGCCUUUUUAAGAGUUCUCAAUGAAAUUGUGGGGAGACAGCUGUUAAACCAAUUUCUGGAAGAACCUAGUAUUCCUGGAUAGCCAAAAAAGUUUGUAAAGCUUCUCUGAAAAUAAUUGUAGUGACUAAUAAAGUGUUUACUUUUUUUAUUUUUCAGCACAAGAAGAGUGUUCCAAGAGCAGUCAAGAACCUCUUUAGGUAGCACGGACAUGUUCUGAAACAUGGCAGCAGUUCAGUAGCAGUUACACAACAGGAAAGGGUCUGGAGGUCCCUGGGUUUGUAAGAACUGGUUUCUGAAAGAACUCAUUUUACUAGAGAGAAAAACUUUCCUCCCCAACUUUUAACUCCCUUGAAUUUAAAUGAGACCUCAUCUGAUACUGAAACACGAAAGUACUUGUGCUGUAGAUCCUAGAGGAGGGGCUGGGAAUAGGGGAGUUAAAGUGGUGAUCGGGGCACUGUGAUGGGCCUUGGAGAAACCGCACAUAAUUUUGAGUACAAGAAACUCCAGUUGUGGGAAACUGCUUUUUGGGAACACACACUAGCAGUGGGGGAAACUCAGUAAACAGAGUAUGUUCUGCUGCUGUUUCUUAGCUAUGUAUGGAUGUAUCUGUUAAGGUGGGAUGACAUAAGGUGGCCACUGAAAACCGUAGGUUUGUGUGCAGACCGCGUUUGUCUUCAGAGCGUAUUUGCAACUACCAAGAACCUUCCUCAUCAAAUGGGAGUAUUCGGAUUCAAAAGUAAUACCUUUGCCUGGUGUAUCGAACUCCUGUGGAGCUAUCUGACUGAUUGCAGCCCUGUGCUGAACAUCACUGGCUUUCCCCACCUGUGGGUUGCUGAAAACUGGCACACACAAAACACAGGCAAUGGUGGUGCAGAUGUUGGCAUGUGCACUGCCCUCUUCAGCACAACGCUUGGUAAAGCCCUGUACUGCAGAAAGCAGGCAGGGGUAUAGCACUGAGGUGACAGUAGGUGUGGAGCGACCCCGGUUGCCGCUAAUCGUGGGCAGGUCUGUUUUUGUGGUGCAGUGGUAAACCUGAGCUGGUAAUUGAUACUGUGCAGCUGAUGGCGUGCCAGACAAGUAGUCCAUGAGCUGGCAAAUCCUCAAGCAUGCUACUAGCUUUUAGUCCUUUAAAAAAAAAAGAGGGUGGAGGCAGCAAGGAUUUUUUUUUUUUGAAGGGUCACAGAAACUCUACUGAAAUUAAAAGCCCACUAAAAUAUCUUUGGGGAAAGAAUACAUUUUGGGAAAUAGGCUGUGACAAAGGCGAUGUGAGCCUUCAGUUAUGGCGAUCUUCAGCACUGUUCUGUCCCUCGUUUUGUUUUUGAGGUUUGUAGCAAAAAGUUGAAUGGAGGGAGAACGUGAAAGCCAUAACUACAUGUAAAUGUUUAAUGUUAACAGCUGGAAUUUUGUGUUAAGUUAUGUACCAUUAUUUAUUUUUGAAAAGUCCUGCAACUAAAAUGAUAACACAUGGUUACGCAUGCUAGUGUUCUCAGGUUCUCCAGCUAUUGGAUGCAGUGGUGCAAAAUGCUAUGUUGCUUUCUAUAUGAUUCGGCUUGAAAAUACAAGCGUUGGCAGUGUGGCUACCUAAACGGUAUUACAGUUGAAGCAUUUCGUAAUGCACGCAAACCAUUUCCUUUUGGGUAAGUAACGCUGCACUGUGAAAAAGCAUACAGCUUUGGGGAGACCAUCAUUUGAUAGCAUCUCCUGUGUCAGCGUUCCCUGGCUUUGCUCCUCUUCCUUGCCUUGGACUCUGCUGUUUACCCAAACUUUUAGCCUUUCUGUACAUGAUUGCUGGUUGGCUCUUUUCCACCACCUGAUCAUUUUUUGGUUUUUUGCUGUUUCUCUGCAAAUACCUCUUCGUGGAAAACUCUGAACAACAGUAAGUAUCUCAGGUUCCUGGCCAAGUUUCCACUCACAUGAUUUCACUUGCUCCAUUCUGUCAAGUUAUUUACAUGCAGCGUCCUAAGGAUGUAAUUUAGUGGACUGCUAGUAAGCAGCUGACCUUUAUGUCUUGGCCCCAGUCCACACAGGUCAGGUUUACACAGGGCUGUUUCCUCACGAUGAAUUCAGUGGCUACUCUUACAGCCCUUCGUUUCCUGUUGCACGACUUUACGAAAAAGAUCGUGUCAUGCUGCUGUCACAGAGGCUUAAAGGACACAUUAGGAUUGAGCACUUUACCUACUGAAUUGCGUGACCCCACAUCUCUUCUGCUCCUUGCUCUUCUGCACGCACAAGACCUAGGGCACUCAAGGUGAAGAGGAGAUGGUUUUUGUGGUUUUGUAGGUUCAAUGUGGUGCAAUAUAGGAGAGGUUUUCAAAACCAGCAUAGAGGUUUAAGCUAAACUAGCUUGCUCAAAGCAGAGCUAUUGUCUUGUUCUCGGGUUCUGGAUUCAUGUGUAUCAGAGUUGUUUUGUACCCAGUAGAGCCGUUAUGGGCAUGCAUUCCCAGGAGGUGUAUUGCCUCAGCUCUCUGAGCUCUCAGAUAAUGCAAACGCAUGAUGCAGAGGCUGUGGUGGCGUUGCUGGUUUAUGGAGAUUGGUGGUGUCUUUUCCCCCUUGCCCCCGUGCCACAGUACGCCAUUCACUCUUGUAGUUGCCAACGCAACUACCUGGAGCAGCGUAGUGAGCUAUCAGUGUCUUCAUCAGGGUAUUAGGCACGCUCCCAGCCCUGUGCGUGCUCUUCUGUGACUCAGAGUGGAAGCGAAGGUGGUUUGUAGUUGUGCGGCUUUCUAAAAGCAGGAUCAGGUCAGUGAGCUGGUUUAGAGCAUUUGCAACGUGGCACUAAAAAUAGGUGGCCAGGUGCACAGCAGUAGUCAAGUUCUUGGGCUUGUCACCAAAGCCUCUGUCUCAUUAAGUUGUGUGUCUAAGGAUGCAGUUUAUUUUGGGGGAGAGGAGCAGCAGCAGUGUGUCCCUUGUGCACACGAAUGCUUUUGCUAACUGUAUUCUUCUGCUUUAGGUCUCAUGACCCAGCCAGAUGUUUUGGUGCGCAUAGCUGCCUGACCAGGCAGUGGCAGCUCGAGAAGCCUUGAUGUCUGUAAGCAGCACUGGUGAUUGCUAGGUGUAGUCCAGACAAAUCCCAGCGGGAGAAGGGUGCUGGAGUAAGAUGUGGAGCAGUUUUCCCCUAAGUUUUUUUUGACUGUUGCAGACAGUACCAGUUAUUUGGCUGUGGAUUAACCUUGUCGUGAGUACCGAGGCACGUACCAGCUUCCAUGGCCAAGCACGUCACGUGUGGGGUCCUGCAAGUUUCUGCCAACACGUAGGCGGAGCGGCUCUCCAGGAUGGGGUAAGGUUGGUGCUGUUCACGCUGAGUGGCAUUGCAGCCUCAUUCACGUGGGUCUGAUGGCAUCUCAAAUAUCCCAGCCUUUUGCUACAGUCACUUCUCCAUUAUCUGAAGGUAAAUUGAGGUAUAGGUCCUUGGUUUGGAAUAUGCCUGCCUCCCUGUACUGUUCAGUCAUGCUCUCUGGUGCAGGUGGAUCUGCUCCUCGGGUACAGUUGAUUGGUCAGUCUUGUUCCUCCCAAAGGAAACGCGCACCAGAACUUCCCCUGUGCUGUGGUAGUGCUUUCUGUGCAUGGCCUCCAGCUCUUAUGCCACAGAAAAAGAGGAAAGAAGAUGGAACAAGCAAAAUGACAUCAAUGGGGUAAAAGAUCCAACAAUUUUCCAGAUUUGAAAUGCAGUGCCUUGGCGUUAUGACAAUUUACAAUUGCUUUGUCAAGACAGAAUUUUGCAAAAUCUUUGAUGAGGAAAAUACGGAUGCGAUGUGAUGUUUUUUCUUGUGGAACGUUUUCGUGGCUAGACUCAGCUUUCCCAGUGGGAUCUUAUUUUCUUAGAGCAGAGAUUUGUCACCACUUACUUGAUUUGGAUGAACUUUCUGCCAGAAUCAACAAGGAAGGAAUUGAUAGGGCGGACUUUAGCAAACAGGGAAAUUGUGACAUAUUUGAAGAGAAUGCACACUCGGAGGAAGGGCUACUUCUGUUUCAAAAAGCAGCUUCUGAUCAGCAAAGCAGGGUCUGCCCUUCCCUGCAGAUGUCUUGUCUCUGCCUUGCAGCAGUGCUAAGAAGAUGUUUUGUCUUGUGAGAAGCCAAGGGAAAGAGAUUUACUAUGGUAAGAAUAUCUCUGCACAUGCUAGUUCAACUCAAUAAAAUGACAAGUUUAAAUAAGACAAGCAUUAACACCAGCUGGGACUGUAGUGAUUAGAAGUCUGCAGUUAUUACAGGGUCUGUUUUUCAAAUGAAUCAACAUAUGCUGCAGCUUCUAAGAUGAAGGAAGUGCGUAUCGGUACAAUGGCACAUGAAAAUACCACUCACUGCCCUUCUGCUGACUGGUUGUGUGUGGCUUGGGCCAGACACGUCAGUCUUCCAAGACAAAUCAAUGGUGUAAAAACCUGAGUGUAUGAAAAAAGCCUUUUUUUUUUUUAAUACGCAGAGAUCAAUCUUCAAGCAGUGGACAUGCUAAGCACUGCACAGAGCAAUUGUAUCUUUCAGAAAUCUAACUGAACACAAGAAGCCAGGAGUCCAAGAACUGACUUAAAGCAGUGAUGAUGCCAUUUAUCUCCUCCUCACUCUUCCCUGAAACACUGCAACCAAAAUUAGUAGCGCACCAUGUCCUCCCGAGCCUGAAUAUUCACUCACACAUGAAGAGAAGAACAUGGGAGGUUUUUAAAAGCUCCUUGAUAAUUGGAACAAGAAAACUUUGUUUAGCUACGAGUGGAAUAUCCUCUUAUAAAAUGCCAAACAGCUAAUAAGAUGAGCUAUGAGCUCUUAUUAUUUCUUCUGUUCCUUCACAGUAAAAAUCCGGAGGUCUUUAAAAAUGCUGAGAUCAUGACAGUGAUUGACAAGAAAAGAAGGGACGUAAGGAGUUACUGUGCUGAAGAAAUUUUAAUUAUUUUUAUAAAAUAAAAUUGAUACUGAUGUAGGUCUUGCAUUUGCAAUUUCAGCUAGAAGCUGAGGUUAAGUUUUCUCAAGCAAGACCUUUGCACACUCUGCCUUUCACCUUUAUGGAAGAACACCUUAUUUGGUAAAAUCCCAGAGUGACUUUAAGGAGAGAGAUCCUAAGAAAUCAAACAGCUGCUUGAACUUUUUAUUUUUUUCUCAGUGAAAGCAGGUCUUAUUUUUAGUGCGUGUGCGCUGCAUGCGUGAGGCUGCUUCCAUCAUUUUUAUUACAGGAUCUGUGUACCAGUUGGUCCCCAAGCAUACGGGUUUGGUUCCAGUUAGGUGUGGGCAUGCAACCACAUCUCCAUUAAUUUUAUUCAGUAUCUGUGGUAUGGAGUUCAUACAAAUUUUGUAACAGCUGGUAACUGGUAUCUGGUCUGACAUAAAGCGACAACGGCACAGACAGACAGUAGCUGUAAUUAAGUUUGUCAGUACAAAAUUAACAAAACUUUUAAAGAAAUUUUAACUGACAGCAUGAGCAAAAGCUGGAUCUGCACCUUGGAUGGUGGGUUAUCUGGUGGGAUAGUGAGGACCCUAAUGUUGGAUUUAUUGUGUCAUUAAGCCACAGUCAGGAGGAGGGUGAGCUGUAUCCUUUAGGGUUGCUAAAAAUGGAAAGCACUCUGUCACUGGCAUGUUCUUCUCUGAAAAAGCUAGUGCUAUUUGAAAACUGCGGCUGGAGAUUAUUCAACUGUCAUCUAUCUACAUGUUAGAUCUUUGUAAAGGUUCUGUGUUAUUGCAUGGUGAUGGCAAAGAACAACAUCAAACUGCUAACAUGUAUUAACAAGGAGAUUUAAAGAAGACGGGGCACAGGCAUUUGUGUAACUGCUUUGUUGAGCUGAGCACAGGUACAGUUCUUGUCUGUUUGGAUCAUUUAAUUGGCCAAAGACCAAAAUAUACACCUAAUAUUCAACAGCCACCUAUGCCCAGUAAUGACAGGGUCCUCCAGUGACGUUAACUAUGUCAAUAAACUAUUGGCUAAAUAGUAGCUGAGUUUCUCUGGUUAAAAGAAAACUAGACCUUCGUUAGAUUCUAAGAUAAGGUUAAAAAAAUUAUUUCUUUCAUUAUGUGAUCUGGUUAUUUGCUGUGUUAACAUGGUGACUGGAUAAAUUGAAUCUGCUAAUUGAUUGACUUAACUGAAAUUGCAGCCUAAAUCUUAUAAAAUGUAGAGCAUCGCUUUGUUUUUAAUGAGUUUGGUGAAAUUGUAAGUAAAUCAGGUAAGUGAUGUGGUUUGUGAGCUUCAUGUUUGUGCAUUCGCCCUUUCUAAGCAGGCCAUCCAUGGGACAAAAGAUCUGUUUACUUCAUCAGACUGCAACCUGGGUCACAAACUCUGAAGGCACACAGAAGCUCUGGUGUGAAGUCACCAGCCUCUUGCCUCUCCAAAGCGACUACCUACAUCCUUACAUUACACAGGCUGUACAUCCCUGAUACACAGCCAGUUGGAAACCAGACGCAGUAGGCAAUCAUGCAGAGCAUCUCACCGACCGCUGCACGGCCACACAGCCACAGCCACUGGGCCCCCUCUUUCAGCCUGCAGGGGUAGCAGCCCUUCUCUUUAUUUUUACUAUGUAUCGUGUUCCCUGGAACGUGGUAUAUAAUAAAACACACAGGGUGGUGUUUGGCAGCAGGGAGGAAGGCUGCCUCUGUCUUCUCUUGGGUGCUGCGGCCAUGGUUGGACAUGUGGAAGGGGGAGAGAUGCUUUGGCGCAGUUAAGCACAAUGAGUUGGGUGAACCACUUGAAGAACAGGAUGGGACAAAGAAGCAUUUGAAAGAAAGGACCUGGUGAAACUUUCUGUUCUGCUUCACUUGAAGUGUUCUCUAUUUUUUUUUAAAGUAUUCCUUUAUGUUUUAACAAAAUCUGAUUUCUGAAGUUAAGAGCUUUGUGUUUUCGGACGCUGGUUUCAAGGGGAAACUGGAGGUAGGUCUGCCUCAAAGAUCUGCUGACUCCACCAGGGUGCUAAUAUCAUUAUAUGUGUUUAUUGUCUCCAAAACGAGGAGGUGCCUGCCUUUAGGUGUCUUGCAGGAUUAUAACGUGAAUUUCUUAGUUAAUUGCCAAAACCCGUGUUCCCCGCCCUGUCUUUAGUGUACUGAUUUGCACACUUCCAAGGGAAGAGUAACUUGCAGAACACGGUGAUUUGAAUUUAAACCCAUUGCUAAACUUUGGCCUGGAAGCAUCGAGUUGUUCUGAUCAUUCACAUUUACACAGGCUGAGUACAGAGGUAAAGAGCAAUAAAAGGGCAAGGCAAAGGAGAAAGACUCAUAAAGCAUCUCAUGAGAGCUAACUUGGACUAUAUUAAUCAGCCUGAUCUUUGCCCUUUUAAAUGCUUUUGUCUUUGCAGUUUGCAGCAUGGGGGCCUUUCUAACAGAUGCAGAGCUUGAACAAAGCAUAUUUGUGCCCUUCUACUUAUUUAUGUGCUAGCGUAAUUUUUGCAGUGUUUCACAUAGUGUGAGUGAAACAAACCUGUGUCCUUCCUUAUUCCUGUGAUGGAAUUAACCAGGGGGAAGGAACAAAAGGAGAAGCCAGAAUUUCUGCUAACAGGAAGAAAAAGCAGAUAGAAUUUAAAAAGAUUUUAUCUGAGCAACAUACUAAUGUGCCUACUCACUGCUGAGCUCUGCUGCAGUUCGCCGUCUUGUCAGGGUGUGUAUAUUCUGGUUAUAGAAUCAGGGAGUGGUUUGGGUUGGAAGGGACCUCAAAGAUCAUCUAGUUCCAAGCCCCCUGCCACGGGCAGGGACACCCUCCGCUAGGCCAGGUUGCCCAAGGCCCCAUCCAACCUGGCCUUCAACACUUCCAGGGAUGGGGCAUCCACAGCUUCUCUGGGCAACCUGUUCCAGUGCCUCACCACCCUCACAGGGAAGAAUUUCUUCCUAAUACCUAACCUAAAUCGACCCUCUUUUAGUUUAAGUCCAUUACCCCUUGUCCUGCCCCUACAUGUAUUAACUUGGUGACUGAAUAAUUUCAAUCUGCUAAUUUCUUGAUUUAACUGAAAUUGCAGCCUAAAUCAUAUAAAAAAAGAACCUCUCUCUCUAUAUAGAUUAUGGAGGGUCAGUUUUAUUAUGGGGCUAGAUUCCAUUUCCUUUUGCAGCCCUGAAGUGGUUAAUUAGACACAAAUACACGACUUUCACCCUUUGUUUACAUAUGUUUAAAAUCAUGCCAAGCUACCCAAACAUGGUAUUGUCUCAUAUAAACCCAACUCAAAGCAAGAACUGAUCAUGACCAGGCUAGUAACCUGUCUCAAUCCCACUUGGCAAAUCUCCAAAUGCUGAUUCUCACAGUAUAUCCCAAUAUACCAGCUGCUCCCGAUGUAAAGGGAACAGUUUGGUAAUUUGUUAUGGAUUGUUUAUGAUUGACAAUAUUUACUGUAAGUACUUUUUGGACAAAGACAGUGCUGCAAACAGGGACAUUAGGCAGCUGUAUGUUCCUACAGCAUGCAGAUAAACUGUAGUUGGAGUUUUUUCCCUGCUAGCAACUCAGGCAAAUGGAUUGUAAAAGCACUUGGGAAUUAGCCCAGGCCUUUUAUGAUGGUCUUGAAGAAGAACAUGAUGAGUACUUCUUUAAACAUCCCCGCUUAGGUCAGCCGGUGAAUUGUUUUACUGUAGUGUCUUUGGAGUCCUUAAAAAGAUUAUGUUUCAGUUUGGCAUUACUGGGGCUCAGCUGGAAAGGCUGAGCUUUAGGCAGCCCCGGGAUGUGAAGAAGUCAUUGUGCUUUUAUCGUUUUGUCUGGCAGCCGUGGAGAGCGGGCUGUCAGGCAUAGAUCUGCUGCAGGGCCCCUCUUUCAAGGCCAUACUCUCUGUCCCCUCUGUGUCCCCUACACCCACAUGCCACCAUUGCACUAACGUGAUGAGUGGGGUUUACUCGGAACGUGCAUAAAGGAAGUGCCGGUUCACCUGGCCCUUGUGCAGGAGCCCUCAGGCAGGGUCUGGGAGGGGCAUGGCUUCACAUGCCCCAUCCUACCCGCCCCCAGGCACUUUCCACCUCAAAACCUUUGCAGCAUAGCCAGAGGAGCUUUCCUUUUCAUAUAUGGAAACAAUUACUGUGCUACAACCAAAAUAGGAUAGUUUUUCCAAGAACCGUGAAUGGUGGCAUGUGUAUGCAACUACAAAGCUUUGGGGAUCCUCUGGAGAUGGAUGGAGGCAGAGCGUUCCAGCUUGGAAAUCCUCAAGAGCAGCAUAAAAGACGUAUAAUCAUGUCCUUCUGCUUGUUCUGGCCCUGUAUGAGAUGAAGCUAUGUGUCAUAUGCUUAAUAUUAAAUGGACUAAACAGGUCACUUGGUUUCUCUUUAAUUCUUUUAAUCUUCUUAGAAGAUG
Long non-coding RNA from Grus americana (Whooping crane), 13024 nucleotides. RefSeq lists it as uncharacterized. Lineage: Eukaryota; Metazoa; Chordata; Aves; Gruiformes; Gruidae. The record is from RefSeq and is a predicted model, not a curated record. The transcript has 5 exons.